GACGAACGCUGGCGGCGUGCUUAACACAUGCAAGUCGAACGAGAUCCAUGAGGUGGUAACACCUCGGAAGAUCUAGUGGCGAACGGGUGAGUAACACGUGAGGAACUUGCCCCAGACUCCGGGAUAACUCAGGGAAACUUGAGCUAAUACCGGAUAUUCUCUCGAGGUCGCAUGGCCUCUUGAGCAAAGUUUUCGGUCUGGAGAGCCUCGCGGCCUAUCAGCUGUUGGUGAGGUAACGGCCUACCAAGGCGGUGACGCGUAGCUGGCGUGAGAGCGUGGCCAGCCACACUGGGACUGAGACACGGGCCCAGACUCCUACGGGAGGCAGCAGUAGGGAAUCUUGCACAAUGGGCGCAAGCCUGAUGCAGCGACG
Molecule: ribosomal RNA, 373 nt
Filed under: uncultured bacterium
Lineage: Bacteria
Description: bacterial SSU rRNA
Rfam family: Bacterial small subunit ribosomal RNA
Source: RNAcentral